Molecule: ribosomal RNA, 454 nt
Filed under: uncultured bacterium
Lineage: Bacteria
Description: bacterial SSU rRNA
Rfam family: Bacterial small subunit ribosomal RNA
Source: RNAcentral
UACGGAAGGCAGCAGUGGGGAAUAUUGCACAAUGGGCGCAAGCCUGAUGCAGCCAUGCCGCGUGUAUGAAGAAGGCCUUCGGGUUGUAAAGUACUUUCAGUCGUGAGGAAGGUGUUAAGGUUAAUAACCUUAGCAAUUGACGUUAGCGACAGAAGAAGCACCGGCUAACUCCGUGCCAGCAGCCGCGGUAAUACGGAGGGUGCGAGCGUUAAUCGGAAUUACUGGGCGUAAAGGGCACGCAGGCGGUUAAUUAAGUUGGAUGUGAAAUCCCCGGGCUUAACCUGGGAAUGGCAUUCAAGCUGGUUAGCUAGAGUCUUGUAGAGGGGGUAGAAUUCCAUGUGUAGCGGUGAAAUGCGUAGAGAUGUGGAGGAAUACCGGUGGCGAAGGCGGCCCCUGGGACAAAGGCUGACGCUCAUGUGCGAAAGCGUGGGGAGCGAAACAGGGAUUAGAUACC